RNAcentral lists this small RNA (550 nucleotides) under human gut metagenome. Its description in RNAcentral is "ROOL RNA". It matches the Rfam family "ROOL RNA". Rfam says of the family: Firmicutes, Fusobacteria (1 example), Tenericutes (1 example). Environment (Cow rumen (57)) The record is from RNAcentral.
UUAAACAUGAUUACCUCGGUGUAGAGAGGUUUUUCAGCCUUGCCGAGAUGUGCAGUAACGAGAUAGAUAAAUUCGGGAUACUGGAUUUAUUGAUGCUUUCCGCAGAGAGUGAUCCUGUGGAGAAGAUGGAAACCGUCAACAAUGCUGUGCAGUGUAUCAUCAUAGAGAAAAUCAAAAGCAGAAUCCUUGUGGUCGGCGUAGAAAAGACGCUUACGGUGUAAGAAUAAUCCAUUGAUGUGAGUGGUGUGAGAGACCCCGGACUAAAUGGAACAUCUCAAACAAGUCGAUUUGCAUUGAACCUGAGAAAUCGGGGUAUAACACAAGAAAUUCGUUAAAGUAGCGGUAUGGCAGCAAACAAAAAGUUUCCUCGAUAGCGAAUUGAGAAAAAAACAUCUGAAAGAACCGUGAAAUUUGCAGGUGAAAUCCUGCAUGUGCUUUGACCGCGGCAAGAAGCAUAGGGUCGCUCCCGAAAGCUCAGACUUGUCGUCACAUUGGCUGAAUAUGAUUGCAUCGGCGAUGGAUAAGGGGAAGCCCUAAUCAUGUUUAUUUU